CUGGUCUAGGGUCUCCAACACCUGCAGAGUCAGUGCCCGCUAUUUGCGGAAGGAAUCAAUGACAUUUUUGGGAGGGCUCCGAGGACACAUGAGCUGAGGUCAGGCUUUAGCCUGCCGUGGCCACCCUGAAGAAGGAGACAUAGGGGAAUAGCAGCUGAUCACCCCCCGCAUUCAGGGGGUCGAGAUUCCAGCAGACAAGGACCCCGAGACUCAUCCCCGCUUGUCCACCAGCAGCCGUGUCGCCCCUGUGUGUCCGGCUCCUGCUUCCGGGACACAGGGCAGGAGAUCGCGGCAGCCGGGUCAGCAGAGGGAGCAGGCUGCCGCCGACCCCUCUUUGGAUGACGUUCCCGUGGUGCUGGCGGGUCGCUGUGCCUGGGAAAGAGAAGCCGAGGCCCAGAAUACAGGGCCGGAUGACCAGGUGGCCUUGCCACGUCCCAGUUCCCCGGAGAAGCAGGCAGGGGCUCUGCAGGGAAGGGGCGAGGCCGGGAGAGU
This is a long non-coding RNA of Herpailurus yagouaroundi (jaguarundi), 492 nucleotides long. RefSeq lists it as uncharacterized. The transcript is spliced from 3 exons. Lineage: Eukaryota; Metazoa; Chordata; Mammalia; Carnivora; Felidae. The record is from RefSeq and is a predicted model, not a curated record.